RNAcentral lists this long non-coding RNA (26730 nucleotides) under Arabidopsis lyrata. Its description in RNAcentral is "long non-coding RNA (ALYR_LNC002237)". Lineage: Eukaryota; Viridiplantae; Streptophyta; Magnoliopsida; Brassicales; Brassicaceae. The record is from RNAcentral.
UCUCUUCUUCUUCUUCUUUAGCUCGGUUCAAUUCUAGUAUUUUUGAGGCUUAUUUGAGUGAAGAAAAUGGAGGGAGAGAGUAGUAGCAUUGAGAGAGGAUUAUUAUUGGUAAAUAAGGAAGAGAGUGCAAAUACAACUCCACUUCUUGUCUUCACCGCUUUCAUCAUUGUCUCUGCCUACUUCUCCUUCGGCGUUGCCGUACGUUUUCUUAUUAUUAUUAUUUUUUUAAAAUAUUUUGUUAACUUUUUUUUUUUUUUUUGGUAAACAUAUUUUGUUAACUUAUUUAUCUAUUUUUGAUGUUUUGAAGGAUUCCAAAUUACCUUUUUUGAAAAUCAGAAUUGGGUUUUGCAUUGGAAUAUUCUAACUGUGUUCAACUUAUUUAGAUAUUCAUGCAUGUAUCUCAAUUGUUUUUAUGAGAAUCAGUUAGGCCACACUGCUGGUACAAUGGCUUCCAUUAUGGAAGAGCUUGAUCUUUCUAUCGCACAAGUAAGUCCCUGUUUAACUAUACAUUCAUUACUAUUUCAGAUAAGAUUUAACAAAUAAAAAUUUAUUUCGAUAAUUAUGAUAAUUGGAAUUUAUUUUUAUAAAUGUUUUUUUUUUGUAGUUUUCUGUAUUUGGUUCGCUAUUAACGUUUGGAGGAAUGAUUGGCGCAAUAUUUAGCGCCACGAUUGCAGACUUAGUUGGCCGUAAAAUGGUUAAUUUUUUUUAUUAAUUAAAUUCAUUUGGCAUAAUCUUUAAACCUUUAAUCUUUUUUAAUAAUAUUUUCGCUCUAACAUAUUUCUUAGACUUUGUGGAUCGCUGAGGUUUUCUGCAUAAGUGGAUGGCUUGCAAUUGCACUAGCCAAGGUGAAAAUAUAAAUGUUUUUUAAACCUUUAUUAUUAUUUUCUUUUUAAUGAUUAUUACGUGAAAAUAUAAAUGUUUUUUUUUAAUUAAUUGUUACUUUUAACUCUUAAGGAUUUCCUUCUCGGAUUGGGAUGACGGUGUUGUCUAUUGUCAUGGUACGUAUAUGUAAAAUAUUCAUAAUAUUUACACUUUGAUCCAUAAUCUAUGAAAUGGGAUUGAUCAUGAUAUAUAGGUACCAAAAGCUAUAUUGGGUCUGAUACUUGUGGAACGAUGGGGAAGAAGACCGCUUCUUAUGGUUAUAAUAUUUUUAUUUGUUACUCUAGUAUAAUUUUAUUGUGUUAAUUGAUUAAUUACGUUUAUAAAGUAUAUAAAUUUUUUGUACAAAUACGCAGGUAUCGGCAUUUGGGAUAUGUUUAGGUUGUAUCUCUAUUGCAUUAGCAUUUGGACUGAAAGGUGUUCCUUGGAUCGUAAAUUUUACUCCCACUUUGGCAUUUAUAGGAAUGUUGGUAAGUGAGAUCCAAUUUAUUUUCAAAAAAAAAUCAUAGUUUUCUUCUAUUUGAAUAAAAACAACCUGAAAUAUUUUAAGUUGUUUUUAUUCAAAUAGAAGAAAAGUAAGAUUAUGCUAUUUUAAGUUGUUUAUAUUCAAUUCAUCGAUCCUUAUAUUGAAUGUUAAAAACAAGAAUGUCUUAAUUACACAUAUGCUAUUGUUGUCAUUAUUAUUAAUUAUUACGUUUUUUUUUUUGUUAAUAAGAAAGUUUUUAGGUUUUUGCCCAUAAUUUCUUAGACCGGAACCAACCAUUGAUAAUGCUUAUUAAAAUGUUAUUUGUUAAUUUUCAGUAAUAUAUAGCUAGAUUUUGUAGAAAUUUCAAAAUGUGAUCAAAGAUAUUAAAUCUAUAAUCCAAACAGACAUACAAUAUGAUGUUCGCAGCUGGAUUAGGAGGACUACCAUGGAUUAUAAUGUCCGAGGUAUAUGAACAUAUGUUUACUUUUUCGUUUACUUUUUUUUUUGUGACAUUCAAAAUUGUUCAUUUCCUUACACUUUUUGUGUAGAUAUUUCCGAUAAACAUGAAAGUAGUAGCUGGAAGUUUAGUAAGCAUAACGAAUUGGUUUACUGGUUGGAUCGUCAGCUACUGAUUCAAUUUUAUGCUUCUUUGGAGCCCAACUGGUACGUCAAAACUAGUCCAAAAGCAUUAAAAAUUGAACCUUAUUAAUGAUUUAGCUCGGUUUUGUUUAGUUUUUUUUGUUUUUCUCUAAUUCACGGAACUAGAUAACUUAACAACAGAGAUGAAAAGGAAAACUAACAGAUAUUUGAUAUAAUGGAACUGCUAUCUAUUCGAGUCUCGAGCUCUUUAGAUAUAUUUUUGGAUCUUAAAUUGAUAUAUGAUUGAUGAAAUUCAAGAUUCCAAUGACGAUGCCUAUAUCUUAAUUUAUUUUUGUAAAUUCGAAUUGUAGGCACUUUUAUUAUAUUCGCCAUGAUAAGUGGAGUAACGAUUGUAUUCGCAUGGUGUUUGGUGCCUGAGACUCGAGGAUUAACUUUAGAAGAAAUCCAACUUCGACGUGCUCAUUAAUACUUUGAGUUGAUCUCAAAUAUCCAUUAUAAACGUGUGUAUAUACAACAAUCAAUUUUUUUUCAUGUAACAAAUUAAGUUGUUGUUCAUCAAUCAUCAUGCCGAAAGUUGUUUUAUUUUUUUUUGUCAAACCAAACCUGUUCUAUUUAGGUUCAUUAUAUCGUAAAACGUCGAGCCAACCUAGCCAAAAUCUGCUAACCUAAAAACAGAUAAUAAAUAAUACAAUGACUGAUGUGAUAUUUAGUAGGUGAAGAAGUUUUAGCAUGCACGUUUCUUUGUGCCAGCUCCCAAUCUUUUAGUCUUGAUAUACCUUUCAUUUUGGGUCCAGCCGUCCAGGUUCAGUGAAUUAUAUAUUUCUGCCACGUUUAUUGAAGGGCUAAUAUAGUCCAACUAAUUCUUUCAUUUAAUGCAAUUCGUAUUUUAUAGUAUAUUUUUCUUGUCCAAAUUCGUAUUUUUUGUAUAAUGUUUCAAGUGCUGUCUUUGUUUGUUGUCUCCUAUACGUUUAAUUUAAUAUUCCCUCUGUUUUAAUUGAUUUUUACUUUAAGGUUUUUACUCAAAAAUAAAAAAAUCACAAAAAUCACAUUUAAUUUACUUUUUUUUUUAUAUAAAAAUAUCAUUAAUUACAACUAAUAAAAAAAUAUGCUAUAAAAUAUAAUUAGUCAAAAACUAUUAAAUACAUUUAAUUUUUGCAUAAAAAAUUAAAAAUAACAUUUAUUUUGUAACAAUUUUUUGAUUAAAUUACAAAUAAACUGAAACAGAUGAAAUAUUACGGUCUAACUUCGAAACUUGUCCAUUACUCUGAAAAAACGGAAAACCUUUGAAAAUUCGCUUGAUUGUUCAAGCAUAUAUUUGAUCAAACAUUUUCGUGUUUUGUUUUAUUUCUUUGCGAAAAAAAAAAAGUCUUUUUAAUGAAUCUUUCACCAUGGAAUUUAUUAUAUGUUAUGGACAAUUAACUUUGUAUUUUUUCAAAAGAGAUUUCCAAAAUUUAACUUAAAUCCAUUUUUUGUAAUAUUGUGAAAUUAGAAAACAUUAUUUAAUUUAAAAUUAGAAAACGGAGAGAAUAUUAUGCAAUGUAAAUGUGUAUUUAUAAAGACAUAUCCUGUUCAAAAAAAAGAAAUAGACAUCUUCAGUUGUUAUUUUAAAAAUUAUAGUUUUCCUACCGUUUCAUUAUAAGUGUGUUUAAUUUUUUUCACAUUUAUUAAAAAAAAUAUUAAAUUUUCUGUUUUAUCCUUUAUUAAUAUAUAAUACGAAUUUUUAUUGGUCAAUACAUUUUUUUUUGGUGUAUUUUAUUAGUCGAUACAUUAAUGUAGUAGAGAUAAAACUAGAAAUUUUCUCAAACAUCUACAUUUAAAAUAGAAAACGAUACUUAUUUUGAAACAAAAUUUUAAGUUUAAAACGAUACUUAAUAUGAAAUAGAGAAAUUAUAAAUCAUUUAUUCACAAAAGAAGAAACUAGAAAAUGUAUAUAACUAUCAAGAAUAUGCAAAUAAUAUUAUAAAAUACACAAUUAUUUGCAAUGCGACUGCCAAUAGAUAAUGAAUAUAUAUUUAUAAUAAACAAAAUUAAUAUAUUACAAUAUAACGUGUAUUUUACAAUUUAGGUUGUCCCGGUAAGCGAAGCUUGCAACUCUUCCAGUGACUGUCCUUUGGUUUCCGGUACGACCAUCCAAAUAAAAAUCAAUGACAUUCCUCCGACAGCCGCAAAUAUGUAAAAUGUUCCUAUUUAAUUAUUAUUAACAAUACGUAAAUGACAUAAUUGAAGUUGAAAAUAUAUUACCAAUACAGGAUACCUAACUAAAAAUCUAGACAAAAACUUAUCAUUUCAAAUAAAAUCAUCCGAUCUAAACAAGAAAACAAAAGUAUUUGAACAAAACAUGAAUCCAAUUAUGAAUGCACAUUUUUCACAUCUAAAACUGUUUGAUAUAAAUAUCAAAAAUUCGAACACGAUUUUAAAACGUCUUUCUAGUUGUAUUUUUUACUCUAUCUAUCUAUUAUUAACUUUAAGUUUGGUUUGUAUUUUUUUCCUUAAGGUGACUAUAAAUUUUUUAUUUGGGAACUAUAUCUAUCAAAAUUAAUUAAAAAUAAUAGAGAAAAUAAAGACCUUGUGCGCUCCAUUCAAACAUAAAGUUGAAAGCGUAACUCACGAACCACCCACUAGUCCAUGAUGUUAAUGCUACUAUUGUUCCUGCUGAAACUUUUAUAUUUAUCGGAAAGAUCUGCAACAACAAAAGAAACACAAACACACACAAUAAACAAUUUUUAUUUCUUUCAUAAAUGUUUAACUAUAUGAUUUUUAUAAAUUAAAAAAUGUUAUUUACCUCAGACAUAAUGACCCAAGGUAGCCCUCCUAUACCGAAUGCAAAACAUCCGAAGUAGACCUAACCAAAUUUAAUUAAAGAUUUCUUAUUACAAGUUAAGACCAAUAAAAAAAAUUAUGCAUGGAAAAAUGAAUAAUUGUUGGGAAAAAAUAAAAUAUUUUACCAGAAUGUUUACGAAGACGAAGCACAUUCAUUUGCUGUAUCAGAAACAAAAAUCAUAAAGAAUUAAAAAUCAUAUAAUAAGGAUAAUAAGAUUGUAGUAUCAUAAAAUACGUGUUGAUAGUUAUCUCAUAUUAGUCCAAUAUAUAAAGAAUAACCUGUAACGUGAAGCUAACUCCAAUAAGUAAGGAUCCGAUGGACAUUCCAAUAGCAGAAGCCUAGAAUAAUAUUUAUCAAGAUAAUGUUAAUAAUUAAUAGAUUGUUACUAUAAAGAGUAAACUGUAUUUUUCUAACCAAUAGGAGUGGUCGUCUUCCCCAUCUGUCCACAAGAAUCAGACUAACCAAAGCUUUUGGGAUCUACAAAGAGUAGAAAAUAAUCAUAAAAGGUAUAAUCGAAAGAGCUUUGGCCUUUAAGGAAUUCAAUUUCAUCAAAGAAAAUCAAUUAGUUUAAGGUACGCACCACGAACACACCAAAUAUCAUUGAUCCAAGUCUCUCUGAAAAGCCUGUUUAAAAGACGCAAAAUGCAGAUAAUAUUAAUUAGUAUUAAAUAUUGGUGGUGUAUCUAUACUACUAGUAUUAUUUAUAUGAAAGCAAAAUAAUUUCAUAAGUAAUAAUAGUAAGACUUUGAAUAUCCUAACCAGCUUUUCUGAAUAUGGCAUUUGAAUAAUAUGUGAUACCGCUAGCUCCAGAUAAUUGUUGUAUCAACAUUAAACCAAUUCCAACCUGUAAAUUCAAAACAAAUCAUUACUUUCAUCAAAUGUAAUAUCAUAAGUAAAUAAUUAGCCUUUUUCACGCUAUUCCUUCCUAGUUCCUAUAUAUGUUACCGUACCACAAGAGUUCGUCUAUACUUCUUCUGAAACAUGUCAGAGAAACUAGACUUUGAAUCUUCUUCAAGCAUUUUUGUCAUAACCUGAAAAAGUAUAACACGCAUAUAACUACAGUUACAUAUAGAGAAAGUAUCCUAAUAAUUUAACAAAAAAGGAAAGAAAGAAAGAAUACUAGUAAUCUAUAAUAGCUAAUGAUUUUUUAAAAAAAUAUAUAUACCUGAAUUUCAGCUGCUUCACCUGAAACAUUAGCAUCUUUCCCUCUAAGUCGAUGCAAAGAACUUUCUACAUCUUUGCCUAAACCGAUUUUAGCCUGAUAAAAACAACAACAAAAAAAAUAUUUACAAAUGACUGAAGUAGAACCUUUACAUACUUAUGUCAAAUUUCAUAGUCGAAAUGAUUAAAAGAAAAUGCCAACCAGCCAUCUUGGAGAUUCCGGUAUGUAAAAUAUACCGAUCAUUUGAAGGAUGCAUGGAAUUGCACCUGAACCAGAAAAUGUAAUUAAAUAAAAAUGAUAUGUAAAGUCUUUAUAAAAUAUUGAAAUAAACAAAAAUCACAUGUUGAUAUUAAUAUUACAGUAUUAUUUUAAAAAGAAUGUAAAUGCCUCGCAACGAGAUAUUCCGUUACCUAUAACAGCCAGAACCCGCCAAUUAAUUACAGUCCCAAAAAAAUAAAUGAGGGAAAUUCCACUGUUUUGAAGAAGCUUCAAAACCAAAAAAUAGUGGGUUGUUAAUAAAAAUAUAUAAGGGGUAAUAGCUUUAAUAACUUAUUAGAAAUAUAGAAUAUAAAAUAAAAGAUUAGACUAACUUUAUUAUAAUUAAAAAAAAAAAAGAGUAUAAUAGAGUUUACCUGGUUUGAAGCAGUAAAUGCGCCACGAACAUGUUUUGGAGUGAUUUCCGCAAUAUAGACAGGGACCUUGUAUGAAUAUUAUUUUAAAAUGUUGGUUUUAAGAAAUGUGAAAUAAAUCAAUAAUAUAUAUAUACAUAUAUUUAUAUAUGUGAGAUUACCAAAUGUAAUUGGUAUAAAUAUUUUUUUAAUUACCACGUAGCUAAUCAAGCCGACUCCUAUGCCCAAGGAAAUUCUUCCCAAGUCCAGCCAGAAGACAUUCUUUUUGUUUCCACAUUUAUUCAAAUCUAUAAAUUAGAUACUUCCACAACCAAAUUUAUUUUUAUUGAAAAAUUAUUAUGGGUUUUUAUCGGAUUUACACCUUCGCGAAAGCAAUGGAGAGCCAGCCAAAAAUGCAGAAAAAAUCGCAUGCCCACAACGUCUUUAAUCGUUAAUCAACCAAAAAAAAAAGAUAUAUCAAUCAGAAUCUACGAAAAUCAUUUUUUAAGGAAAGUAUUAUUAAAAAGAAACAAGUGCAUAAUUUGAUGUAAUAAUUACUACUAGUAUGAUUUAAGAGAUAGGGUAAAAUGGUAAUUACUCGUCUUCUGCCGAGGAUGACUGCCAAUUGACCGCUGAACAAGGCCCCUACCGCACCUCCCACAUUCAAAAAGGAGCCAAACGCUGAAAACUGAUUAAAAAAAAGUUUAAAGAUUUCUUGGGAACAAAUAUCAUAUGAGUUACUAAUCAGUAAUCACACAUGUUUUUUUUUUUCAGAAAUACAACAACCUUUUUCAAAAAUUCCAACAAUAGUAUUUAAAAAGCUUUUGUAAAACAUCUUGACAAAAAAACUUCUUAUCUUACAACUAAUUUCCAAAACAUUUCUAAGUACUUCGUACACAAUUUUGUACUAUUUGAUUAUUAUGAAUUCGUUCAAAUUUUAUUUGUUAGGUAAGUAAGAUCGUGACGAAAAAAAAAAAAAAAAAAAAAAAAGGUAAGUAAGAUCGUGUAAUUGGGUUCAGUUUGGAUUCGUGUAAACUUACUAGAAUGGGCUUUGUAACACAUUAAGGCCUUUUUGCCGCAUUUAAUUUUAAUUCAAGCAAUUAACAAAAAAAAGAAAAAGAAAAAGAAAAGAGAUCGUGUAUACACUUUUGAUUAGUUUAACUUAUGAAAUUUGGAGAAAUUUGUCAUAUUCGAUAACUAAAAUAAUGACAAAAUUACUAAUAACUUUUUAUUAUUCAUGUUCAAAUAUGAGAUACGGUGUCGGAAUCACAUAUGCAUUUUAUGAAUGCAUCUCUGAUCUCUCCAUGUACAAAACAGCUUACAUGGCAUUUUAAUAAUAUUCAUUUUCCAAUAUUAACUUACGUAUCUCUCUAAUAUUCACAUACGCAUCUCUCUCUAAACGUUUGUACAUGUGUCUCUCAAUAAAUUUCCCAGCAAAGUUGCUCUACUCAUAACUUUGGACCACAAUAAAACUAAAAAUUCGUUAAAAAAUAUAAUAAGACUUCACUACUAUUAUUCCCAGUUGCGAAAACUAUAAUUUAUCAAUAAUGAUGUCUUUAUACGAAAUUGCGUAUAAUUAUCAAUUUGAUUUUCUUCAUAACCGACCAGGUUAGGUCUGAUAGUUUAGUAAUCCAUACAAGCAGAUUUACAGGUAGCUGAUGUUUUAGUUAACAGGUAAAUUAUGCAUUUUAAGCAUCAUUAAUUAGGGAUUAAUUAAUUGGGUAUUUAUAGUGAUAAAAGCUAAGAAAAAACAAAUUACAUACUUGUGCCAUAGAAAGGUUUAACUCCUUCAUGAUAGCAGUCUCAGCGCCUGAAGUAUAACCAGCCUACAAAAUCCAAGAAAUUAUUAUUAUUAUUAUUAUGCGAAAAAUUAAGAGAUUAAGACUAUAAAGUGAGAAAUUUAGAAACUCACGGCACAUCCAUAGCUGAAGGCACUACAAACAGCGACAAAAGUGCUGAGGAUAACACAAGCAGUGAUACGACGAUCAUCUCUGUCGUUUUCAUGCCGGAGAAGUCCUUCCUCCAUGCUUCUAUUCUCCUCCACCACCAUUUCUUACGAUUAAUCCUUCACCUCUCUUAAUAUUUUUUCCCAAGAAAUCUUCUUGAACAAAAUAAAUAACAACAAGAAAUCUUCUUGAUCGAUGAUAUAAACAGAGAGAAGAGAGAGAAAGAAGAGGUAGAGAGAAAGAAGAGAGAGUUUACUUGUGGGGUUCAAGCUCUUCAUGAUUUGCACAAGUGGGCUUGUUAUAGAAUAUGAUUUUGAAUAUAUUUUUUUUUUUAUAAUUAAAUAUUUUUAUCAUUUUUAAUAAUUUCGAGUUUUGUUGUCCCUUUGUAUUAAGAUAAUAAUGCCAACUUUGAAUGCAUCCAACUGAACAUAGCUCAUUAUCUGUCCUCAAUACCAGUUGUACUUUCUUUUCUUUUUGUUCCAAAUAGUUUUUUCUUUUGUAAAGAGAAAACUUAAUAUUUAGAUAAAAUUAUGUAUUAUGUAAUUUUGUCCAAGAAAAAAAAGAAGAUAAAAUUAUGUAUUUAGAAAAUAAAAUAGACAAAAAUCAAACAUAAGAAACAUUACCAGUGAUAAAAAUCACAGAAACUUUAUAAUUUUCUACAACUGAUUAACCAGACUAAGAAAUAAACUGACCAAAAUCAAAGGAAAUAUUCAGUUGAAGCCAUAUCCAAAUUACUCUAGUCCAACGUGUUUCAUAUUGCCAACAUAAAUGUGAUUAAACUACAUCAGUACAUCACCAUGUUUUAGUGUUUACCAAUAACAAAUAAAAAACUACGGGCUACAAUAAUUGACUAACAUAGUCGUUGGACGUAUCUACCGUUAAUUAAUUUAUAGUUCUGUUUUAAUUAUUUUUACUCAAAUCAAUUACAAACAUAUUCACAAAAAUACCUAAAUUAUUUCAAAUGAGUGUUGUUUAGUAAAAUAUAUUAUCUAAAAACUCUAUGAAUAAUUAAAAAAAUAUAUUAAUGGCUGAUCAACAUAACCGUUGGAGUCCUUAGCUAUGCGUUCGUCAAACUUACAGUUCUGUUUUUACUUGCUUUUUUUUUACUCAAAUCAUUUUACAAAACAUACUCACAAAAAGCCAUAAUAAUAUUUUAGUGAUAUUAUUGUUCAGUAAAGUUUGACAAUUUGAUAUUUCAUAGUCAUACGCAUGUCUUAGUCUUUUUUUUUUUUUUUUUUUUUUUUUUUUUUGUCGAAAUCGCAUGUCUUAGUCAAAGUAUAGUAUUUUUGCCAAAAUUAAAAAAUUAUCAUUGUUUAGGUAGAAUUCUAGGAAGACUCGGGAAGAUUGAGUAAAUUUCUCCAUCCUAUUUCAAAUUCGUAUUAUUUUUAAAACAAAACAUGGAUAUAAAUAUUUUAGGAUGAUGUUUCUAAAAUUCAAAUAUUUUCUUUCAAAAUAAAGGAAAAAAUGUGGAUCGAGUUUACCCCAAGCAACUAAUUAAUGCUAGACAAAAAACAAAUUACAAAAAAUAUAUCUACAAAAAUUUGCCACCUAAGCAACUAAUAAUGGUCUCAAUAUCUUUUUCAUUUUUUUGUAACCAAGGUUAAACUGAUUAAAAAAAAAAAAAAACGAAGGUACCAUAAUCAUCUUUUCAUUUGUAAUACGAGGUAAAGUAAUAUAUGUGCCUAAAGUAAUUUUUGCAAAACAAAUAAUAUUUGUACCCUUUUAUCAAAAAUAAAAUAAAAUAAUGUACCUACAUCUGUUUUAAACAAAGAAUGGUUUAUAAAUGAAAUAUAUAUGUUUAUGGUUUGUUUAUAUUAUCGGUGAAGACAAUAUAAAUGGGAGUUUGUUGAGAAACGCGAAGACUAUAAAGUUUAAAUGGGAGUUGUGUUAACUAAUUAACUCACUUAAUAACAUGUAAAGUCAAGCAUAGUGUAACGUGUUUCCAACAUAAUGACGAUGAUGGUUAUAAUUCUAUAUUGUGCGUCAGCAUCAUAUGGUUUUGUAUCGUUCUUCAGUAUCGUUGACAUGGAUGAUUUUUUUUUGUUGGGGGGUUUGUUUUAGUUAACAAUACAUGGAUGCAUGAUUGUUGAAGAUAGAGGAGCGAGACGUCUUAAAUUAUGGUGGACAAGUGAGAGAAUAUGAGACCCCACCCUUUUCAUAUUUUAACUACCCAAUUGGCCAAUGCCCAUCCUAAGUCUUAUCACACGUUUUUUUUUUUUUUGAUGGUAAUCAUUCUCAGUAGCUAAGAUUUUGUCAAGACAAUAUGAUAAGGAAUUGGCAAUCGAUUCAAUCUUCAUCAGACACUAUCCUUAUUACUGCAUAGUGUAGAUGGGAUUGUCCAUUUCUUCUGUACCCACCCGUACACAUUUCGUUGUAAUAUUGGUUCCUUUUGCGGUUUUUCAUGAUCAUUAGCGGGUCUAAUUCAGUAGAAAAACUAGGUUUUGUUGUAUCCACAAAUGAAUCUUCUCUUUCAGGACCACUUCUUGUAUACAAAGAAGUUUUUUACGUCCCAUAAUUAAGAAGAAUAAAUUCAAAAUUAUAAUAGAAGAUAAUAAGCAUAUGGUGGUUUAACCCUUUAGGCUUGGUCAUGAAAGUAAUAUCUCUUUGAAAUUAAAGAAAAGGUCUGAAAGGAAUCAAGAGUGAAAAGGACAAGAAACCUAUCCAUUUCCACUAUCCAAACUUGUGAAGGUUAUCACAAUUUAUUGUUAUUAUUUUCUUGUUAUAGGAUGUUGAUUUCUUUCAAACGCAACCUUUUUAUAUAUCAUAUUUUAUGGAACAAGACAUGUAAGAUAUUUUAGUAAGCCUAAUAAAUCCCUUUUCUAGAGCACGUAAUAGUGACAUGUUAUGCAUAUCUAAUGAUCUUUCUUACAAACGGUACUUUGACCAAUCAAUCGAUCGAAAUAUAUCUCACUUGUUUCCUGAAAUCUUUUUGUAAAAUCAUUAGUGAAGACUUUAUUCCAUAUUUGUAUACCACAAACUGAAUAUAUAUAUUUUUACUUGUAACUCAUGUGUAGUUUAAAUUUGGUGUUAUUUUUUAUAUGAAAGAAAACUAUACAUAUCUUUGAUAUUUUGGAUUUGAAAGUACGGUAGUGUGUCUAAAAAGACCGAGAAAUUGUUUUCAUUAUUUUUAUCCUAAAUGUACAUUUGAUCUUUCAAAAAAUUUAAUACCUUUUUUUUUUAAAAUAAGAAAUAAAAAGACUGAGAAAACUUCAGUAUUUAACAAUUUAAUCUGUAAUUAUAUCAUGGAGUAAUUUUUAAGUGCUGACUUACUGAUUAUGAAAUUGUGAUGGUCUGUACGUAAAAUUAGUCAAUAUAUAUUGUAGAUUUGUAAUGUUUGAAUAGCGAACUGUAGUUGAACGUGAGUAAGAUCCAUACUACUCGGAGCAUAAUUAUCAUUCGACCAAAACUAAAGAUUCAGUCAAUUUUGUGUUUUAUCUUAUAAUAAGGACUUAAGGAACGUUAGACGAAUUUACGUUGACAAAAAAGAAAGGAUUUUUAUUAUCUAGUUGACGAGUGUGUAUAAUAAAUUGUUAUAAUGAGGUUACAUUUACAUGGGCCUACUAAAAUAUAGAUAAAGCCCAACAGGUUUUCAGAAACUAUAAAUUAGCUGACAUUUUUUUUUCUUUAAUUGUAAAAGGGCUAAUCAUCCUGGUCUACAAAUCUUUUACCGGGCUAACUUAUUUGGCCCAUAUGAGUGAACAUGAGAUACUGAGAUACGAUUCUUAUUUAACAUUUACUUUGUUGACCAAAAAUAAAACAAAUCCUUUUCCAUUAACUUCUUCAAAAUUCGUCAAUGAAUUCUUUAAACAAAAGAGAGAUGGUGGUUUGCCACGUUGAAAUUUAAAACUAAUCCAGAUUGACCUUGUUCAAUUAAAAAAACAUACUAUAAUUGUUCUCUGGUGUAAUAUGUAAUGGAGCAGACGUGGAUAAUAUUGGAAUUUUUCGCUGUGCGUCAAAUUUUAAUUGUUAAUCUCACUGUAUAAAAACAGAAGUAAUAUUAGUUGUUAACCAAAAAAAAAAACAUUACUUAACUAGUUUAGCUUUAACAUUACGUACAAAUUUUACUUAACUUAGAUAAAAGAAAGAAAUUGAAAAACUGGUUUGGUGCUUAAGCUUGAGCAAGAAGGUAAUGCAAACGAAGCACACUUACACAGAGAAUCUGGAUGAAGAAGGAAUGUUCAUGAAAUUCGAUUCUCACAUUUCUAUUUGAUUCGAAUUUCAAAUUGCAAUUUCUCAGAUUCCGGGGAAACAAAAAAAACCCUAGAAAAAUUGUUUCUCCGUUUUUUGAAUCAUCCAUGAGUCCUGACAAUAAACUGCUUCCGAAGCGGAUCAUCCUCGUACGGCACGGUGAAUCGGAAGGGAAUCUCGACACGACGGCGUAUACAACGACGCCGGAUCAUAAGAUCCAGUUAACGGAUUCCGGUUUGCUUCAGGCGCAGGAAGCCGGAGCUCGUCUCCACGCUUUGAUCUCUUCAAAUCCUUCUUCACCGGAGUGGCGUGUGUACUUCUACGUUUCGCCGUACGAUCGGACUCGAUCUACGCUCCGGGAGAUCGGACGGUCGUUCUCGCGUCGCCGUGUGAUUGGUGUUCGCGAAGAAUGUCGAAUUAGGGAACAGGAUUUUGGGAAUUUCCAGGUUAAAGAGCGAAUGAGAGCAACGAAGAAGGUGAGAGAGAGGUUUGGCCGCUUUUUCUACCGGUUCCCGGAGGGAGAAUCCGCCGCCGACGUCUUCGAUCGCGUCUCCAGUAUGUUUCACUUCCUUGCUUAUUCGAAAUUUUUCUCACUUUACUCGCAUUGUUGAUUGUCUACAUAUCUCGUUAUCUAUAUGUAUAUUGACUGAUCUGAGAUGAUAAUUUAGUUUAGCUAAGCAUGAUUUUAGAUCAUUCUCGAUGAUCCUGGCCUGUACAAGUAGCAAAAAGUUGAGGACUUUUUGGUUAAGUAGCAGAACAAUGACAUUAAACCAAAUGCAUCUGUUAAGAGGAAUUGGUUGAUAUCUGACCUUAGAACCCUUGAAUCGAUUUCAUUUGAUGCCAUUCAUGCUUGAUUUCAGGUUAUGCUCACAUUCACUGUUAUGAAGAUUCUAUUAAAACCUGAGUUUUCGCUGGAUCCAGCAAAUCGCUGAAAUGCGUUUUACUAGCUGUGGUCUUGAAUAGAAAAGGAAAAGGUUUUUCUCAGAAUCAGAAGAAAGUCUAAUAUUUACUUUCCAUCAAUCUCUUUUGAAAUGUCACCAAAAUGGAAAAAUUUAGCUAGUCCUGGCAUGUGAUUGUUUCAUCGUUGUUGUUUUGUCUUUUCUCUUUGCUUUGUUUUCUUCCAUCAAUCUCUGUGUGAGUAAACAAGAAGAAAUUAAGACAUGAUGUGGUCUGUUUGCGUGUUGCUAUACAGGUUUUCUCGAGUCUCUAUGGAGAGACAUCGACAUGAACAGACUACACAUCAACCCGUCUCAUGAGCUAAACUUUGUGAUUGUCUCACACGGCUUAACAUCGCGUGUGUUUCUGAUGAAAUGGUUCAAGUGGACCGUGGAACAGUUUGAAGGACUAAACAAUCCAGGGAACAGUGAGAUUAGAGUAAUGGAAUUAGGACAAGGCGGUGAUUACAGCUUGGCGAUUCAUCACACAGAGGAAGAGUUAGCCACAUGGGGACUGUCACCAGAGAUGAUUGCAGAUCAAAAGUGGCGGGUUAACGCGCAUAAAGGCGAAUGGAAAGAAGAUUGUAAGUGGUAUUUUGGUGAUUUCUUCGAUCAUAUGGCAGAUUCGGAUAGAGAGUAUGAGACUGAGGCCAAUGAAGAAAAAGAAGAAGAAGAAGAAGAAGAAGAAGAAGAAGAGGGAAAAAGGGUAAAUCUGCUAACGAGUUCAGAAUAUAGCAAUGAGCCAGAGUUAUACAAUGGAAAAUGCUGCUGAUAAUUUUUUACAGAACAAAAGCAUACAUGAGAAGAAAAGUUUAACUAAAGAAAUUCAGAAAAAUGUGAUUUUGAUAAUAACUUGUACCGUUUACUUAUGAAGCUUUCUGGUUUCUUAGUUUGUGUAGCUUUUGGUUUGUGGAGAAGUGUUGUACACAUUGUUAUAACACCAAAAACAUUACAGGAAAUUUGAAAGAUUCAUUUUACUGUGCCAAAGCAUUUAUCUUUUUGAAAGAAAGUUAGAAAAAUGUAACAGUUUAAGUUUAUGGAAAUUAUUCAUAUACUCAUAAAUAAACCAUUUAACAUACAACUAAAUAGAUAUAUGUAAUCAAUAAAGAAAAUGAUAAUGUAACUUUCUUUGUUACAUUGCUAAAGAUUCAAAGAUGACGCCGUCUCAGAGUAUUUACCGGUGAGAAUGUGUAGCGCAACAUACCGAUUUGCAGCUUCGGUGUAAUGAAUGCCGUCCCAGUUAACAUAUUUGGAACUAUCAUAACAAGGUUUGGCGGUUUUGAUCGUACCGUUUGAUCUUGCUGUCUUACCGCAACCAACCUGAUCAUCGUAGUUCAGUGGCGGUCCUCCCGUUCCACAACAUACCGUUAUCGAAUGAUCAAAACCUAUUACCAUACCAAAAAAAAGUUUCAAACACUGUUACAUUUACACAUAUGGCAUUCCGGUUCAAAUGCCACCACUAACACAAAAAGUAAAUAGUGCUUUCUAAUUUGAGUGAACUGAUUAUAAAUACGUACCAUAUUUGGAAUGAUUCAGGAUGAGGUCGGAUUUGAUAGAGAAGAUAUCUACGUAUGUGAAACGGGAAUCGGGAUAUUGUUGAGGGAGUUUUUUGAAAAGACCAUGAAGCUGCAAAUUGAAAAGCUUAGCAGCUUGGUUAUGGUCACUGACACAACCAAACUCAUCAAGCUUUGAUUUGUCUUUCCCAAAUAAUGACACAACUUGUGCUAAACACCCAAGUGGUCCUGUGUUGUGUAUCCAAUAGUUUCUUGCCCCUUCUGCAUAUAAUCUCUAGAUCAAGAAUUACACAAUGAAUUAAAUUAAUAAUAAUAUGAUGAUAUUUUUGACUCAAAUCAAAUUCAAAUAUUUCCCCAAAAAAUGAGUAUCCAUGUAACAAUUAAGUGUCAUUUAUCGUUUUAUUUAAGAUGGCGUUGUAUUCAAACUCUAUUAAAAAAAGAGAGAGGAUUUUAAGAUUCAUGUAAAUAACUAAAUACUAACCUUUAUUCCAUCUUGAAAUAUAUCUAAGAUUGUAGGAACCAGAGCUAGAACUUCAUCUAAUGUCUUGGAGUAAAAUGCUCCGGCAAUAUCAUUUUGUCCGAUAUCAAACAUAUAUAAUCCUUUUUUGAAAUAAUAUUCGGACGGUAAGUAUCUUCCGAGCUCUUCAUCUUAUAAACAAAAGAGAAAGAAAAAAAAGUACAUUGGUCCGUUACUAAAUGAUUCAACUAAGUCUAAAAUGUUGAUGAACUUUUGGUAUCAUUUGAUAUUUAGUUACCUUGUUGUAUCAAUUGAAGGACUUUGGACUUAAAGGUGAUGAAUUGAGAAACUUGAACACCAAAACCAAAGGGACUAUAGGAUGCAGCAUUCGCCUUCUGAAUCGUUGACGCAGCCGCCGCAAAAUUGCAGCCUCUCCGAUAACUUUGUCGACUUAUCGAAUCUAAAUAAGGCCUCAAAUAGGGCCGAUCAAUUGCUUCCACUACAAAACAUAAAGCCCAUUCAAAAACUUCUCAUGUUAAGAGCAACCUCAAUGGAGGUUUCUUACAAGAUACCUUAACAUUAAAAUAUUUAAAAAAAUUGAAAAAGAAGAGAGAGAACAAGAAACAUACCUUAUAUAAGGAAUGUUUCUAAACAUUUUAGAAACCUUUUGUACAUUUGUCUUCUUUUUAGUGGUCUAUUUAUUUUUAUAUUAAAAUAUUAAUAUUUAAAAUAUAAGAAACUCAAAACUUAUUUCUAACCAUUGUGGUUGCUCUAAGAGUCUUAGAGCAUGUUUACUCAUGAACCAAAAUGAGUAUCAUUAACAGUUUUUUAUUAUUGUUUCAUGAGUUGAAACCCAAAAUGAGUAUCAAUAGACUCACUCCAAUGAUACUUUUCAUUCAAAUAUCAACCUAAAAUAUAUAUUUUUUAUUAUUAUUCAUGGGAUGAUACCCACAAAAGAAUCAUGAGUAAACAUGCUCUUAUGGUUCAUAAGAAUCCUUAAUACCUACAAUGUAAACUACAUGAGCGUGAUAACCGCGUUAUAUCAAGAUCAAUCAAAACAUCUUGCAAGUUGCAACUUUUUUAAAGUCAUGUUUUUAAGUCGACUAGUUUGUUUGUAGGUCAUGCAAGUGCAACAACGCUUCCAGUAAAAACAGGAAACCAUGACAAUUUGUCAAUUUUGCCGUGGUACAAAAUAAAAUAAUAAUAUUAAAAAAAAAAAUAAAAAUAAAAUGAUAGAUUUUAAAGAAUAAAGGAUUUAGAAAUGAUGAAUGAUUACUUAGAAAAUCGACGAUAAGACGUCCAUUGCAGAAUCUUCCGGAAGUUGGAGAUCUGAAGUAGGUUUUUUCAUAGGAAGGUUGGGGAAGAAAUCCAAGACCGGAGCUAAGUUCUCCGGUGUCGGAGUUAGAGUCUCCGAAGUUGAAAACCGCCGGGAAAAUAUUAGAAAUCGGGAAAGAACCGGCGAGAGGAGGCAGAGUUUGAGAGAUGGCUACGAAUAGUAAUAAUGUAAGAAGAGUGUGGAAAAGAGUUUCCAUGGCUCAAACAAUGUAUUUUGAGUCUUAUCAUUCUUACAUACUGUAUACAUUAUAUAUUAUGAUUUUAACAAAUAUAAAAGAAAAGAAAAGAAAAAUAUACAUCCUUAUGUGGAUACAAAUAUAUGCGUGUAUACAUAAUGUUAUGAAAGUGGAAUGUGAGUUUGCUUGGAAAUAUGGAUAGAAACAAAAUGAUGAAGUCCUUCCUCUCGUGACAUUUUUUUUGGUUUUAUAUACGGAAAUCACAUCAAUUUCUUAGGGUUUAUCAAAAAAAAAAUCACAUCAAUUUCAAUAUUGUGUCGACUAUACGUCUAUACGAUAUCCGAAGAUAAAAAGCUCAAUAAUAAUUUUUUUUUUAUUUUUUAUAAUUGCAUAUUUUUUAGGUGAGGCCCACUAAGCCUGAUAGGCCCAAAUAUUCCUUUCUAGGCUCUACUAAAAAAAUAAUGGAACUAAGAAUCUCGCCGGAGUUCUAGCUUCGCCGUGUCGUGUCCAAAUCUAUCGUCGGGCUCUCAAAGCCAACGUAACUAUGAGGAAACCACGAAUGGCAAAGAUGGUGAAUUCCGGUCAUCUAACCACGAUUCGCUAUAUUAUUAAAUUGAUAUUUCUUACAUUAUUUUUAAGGUUUCUUAUUUUGAUGUAAGUUAUUACUUAUUAGUAUUUUAUAUUAUUAGGUAACACAAAGUUGGCAUCUUUUUUUGUUUACUAAAUUCCAAGCAAAGCAGAGAAAAAGAAUUGAUAUGCGUGCAAGUUUCUGUCCAAAUUCUUGUCCUCUUUCUUUUUUUGGAGGUGUGCAUGUGGUGCACACUUCACACUUCACAAGUCGCAACACUUUACUUAGAGACCAGAGAUUAGAGUUUUGAUCACAGUCGUCAAUGGCAGAACCGGAGGUGAUUCACUCAUGGUCUGCACCAAGAUCUCUCAGCACCAGCCUCAUGUACUCCUUUGCUCAGGUACCCUACCAAACUUGUUCCUAUCUUCUUGACAAAUUUUCCAGGAAUUAUGAGUGUUAGCUCUAAAGAUUAUGAUCAUCCAAAACCAAAUCUCAAUUCUGAUUUGCUUGUUUUGUGUCUUCUGAGAAAAUUGAGUAUGAGUUUUAGAGAUUUUGAUUUAUCUAAUAAAUAACUUGGAAAAAACAUGAGAUCUCUAGAAAGAAUCACUGUGGAAAUUCGUUGGUGUUCUUUUCUAAUUGUUGUUGUGUCCAUGUUUCAGAGAGAUGACACUGAAGUUGUCGACGAGCCGUUGUAUGCAGCAUUUCUUAAAGCUACAGGUGUUGAUAGGCCAUACAGAGACGAGGUUCUCUCCAAGAUGGUAUGUCUCUCUCUAUGUAGUAACUGAUUAGGAUUUUAUUUCUUAGUCUUUCUUUGAGUAAACAAGUUUUAUUUCCCGUCUUGUAAUUUAAAUAGGAGUGCAGUGGAGAUAAAGUUGUGAAAGAUGUCAUAUAUGGAUCUGGAUCGAAGAAGUACCGGUAUUGUAAGGUAAAAAGGUCUCUGAUUGUUUGUUUUUGAAGCUUCAAAGUUCAUAUUGUCAAACUUUCUUCUUGUCUCUUUCUCUAAAAGAUAGUAAGUUGUUCUGUUUUUCCCUCUGAACAGCAUAUCUCGAAGCAGCGGCUUUUCGGUUUGUCAAGUGAACUGAUGAGAAAAGGAAAGCAUUUCAUAUUGAUACGAAAUCCUCUUAACAUACUGGUUAGCUUUCGCAUCAAACGCCAGUUCUCUGCAGCUUUUUAGCCAAUGUUUCAUCUAAUGUUCUUCUCUGUUUAUCUUUUUUGCAGCCUUCCUUUGAGAAAGUACACCCUCCAUCGUUUCUCGAAUUAGGCUUGGGGGAAUUAGUGUCGAUAUACAGUGAUCUCUGUCAGAUGGGAACACCACCAGCAGUCAUCGAUGCGGAUGAGCUUCAGCGAGAUCCCGAGGUUUUGUUUCUGUAAUACGUAAAAGUUUCACAAAGAUGUCUUUUUCUCUUACAUGUUAUGCUAUCCAUAUAUACACACAGACAACACUACGCGGUCUUUGUGAUGAUUUGGAGAUUCCAUUUCAAGCCUCUAUGCUUAAGUACGGUCCUCUCCUAUCAUACUCUUAUAGUUUGAUAGAUAUCAAAACAUUAAAUUUCACUUUGGUUUGUUAUGUUUUCUUGAAGAUGGAAGGCUGGUCCUAUACCAGAAGAUGGAGUAUGGGCACCAUGGUGGUACAAGAGUGUGCACGAAUCAACGGGUUUCUCAUCUCCAAAGAAGUAUCCUCGGGUAAGGCCUUAUUUGUUGUGGUUAAUGGUUCUGAAAUCAAUCUAAGAUGUGUUUAAUAUUGUUAUUUUUCCUUCAGACAUUCCCUUUGUCGCACUACGAUUUGCUGGAGCAAAGUCUACCGCUUUACAACAUUCUCAGGAGCCACGUGAAGCACAGCUCCUCCCUCUUGAGUAGUCCCUUGCCUGCUCCUAGUCUCCCAGUUCCUGAAAACGCAAAACUUCUUGCAUGGGUCGGUGACGAGAUUUUGCCUCGUGAGAUGGCAAAGGUGUGCUUGAAAUGUGGAAGAAAACUUGACAACUCACUGUUUGUUGAUUUGCAUUUUGGAACACUGAUUAUGUUCUAUUUCUUCUUAUUCUUGUUAAGGUUUCUGUUUUUGACUCGGUUGUACAAGGCGGUGACUCGGUAUGGGAAGGACUUCGGAUUUACAAGGGAAAGAUAUUUAAGCUUGAAGAACAUCUAGAUCGGUAAGAACAGUCAUAUCCAGAAACCAAGAAGCAAAUAACAGAGUUUUCUAAGCAAUCUUGUUUUAUAUGUUGGAAUCUUGGAUUAGGUUGUUUGAUUCAGCAAAGGCUCUGGCUUUCGAAAAUGUUCCAGCGCGUGAAGAGGUAAGCAUCUGAUGAUUGUAGUGCUAAGUUUUGUUAUUUCAAAACGAUGUUACCACGAUAGCUUAGUUGUGGCAAAACAUGCAGAUAAAAGAAGCAAUCUUCAAAACUCUCAUAACCAAUGGUAUGUUUGACAAUACACAUAUCAGGCUGUCUCUAACUCGAGGCAAAAAGGUAUUUCAAGUUUCUUUGAAACCGAUUUAAGAAACUUCUGUUUUCAUUUCGACCAUUUAGAGUAAAGAAAACUGUGCAACUUCUUUCUUUAAGGUAACUUCUGGAAUGAGCCCUGCAUUUAAUCGAUAUGGAUGUACUUUAAUCGGUAACCUUUCAGCUUUAUCUUAACAACUCAUUGUGCGAAAAUGAUUACUCUGGAGUUCAAUUCUUUCAUAUAAUGCAGUGCUUGCGGAAUGGAAGCCUCCGGUGUAUGACAAUGAUGGUGGAAUUGUGCUGGUGACCGCAACCACACGCCGCAACUCGCCUAAUGUAUGAAUUUGGUUCCACGUUUCUGUUCAUGAUAUAACAUAAAUAAAAUAAAAUAAAAACUUGUUUGUAAAAUAUUGUUGAUUUCUGAAAUUCUUUUUGGUUUGUCAGAAUUUGGAUUCCAAGAUUCAUCACAACAACCUUCUCAAUAACAUACUAGCAAAGGUACUGUCUUCAAAACAAGAAAGUUCAAGAAUUGACGCUGUGAGAUUAAUUUUUCUUUGCAAUGGAACAAUCAGAUUGAAAGUAACAACACGAAUGCCGCUGAUGCCAUUAUGCUUGACAAGGAUGGUUAUGUGUCUGAAACCAAUGCAACCAACAUUGUAAGUAAUCCUUUGAUGAUUCCUCAGCAUGCUUUUCUAUCAAAUUUCAGUAGAUUUUUAAGAGACUAUAGAAAGCUAAUAUUGUCAACAAAAAUUUACUUUGUUCUACAGUUCAUGGUGAAGAAAGGCUGUGUACUUACUCCUCACGCAGAUUACUGUCUCCCUGGCAUAACCAGAGCUACCGUAAGAGAGAGACAUUCACUUUCGUUUUGUUAAGAAUUUUAUAUAAACCAUUCUUUUCUAUUAUCUUCCUUUCAAGGUCAUGGAACUUGUGGUGAAAGAGAACUUCAUCUUAGAAGAAAGAAGAAUCAGUCUCUCCGAAUUCCAUACAGCCGAUGAGGUUCUUUCAGCUUACAAAUUAUCAGUUUUUGGGGGUCAAAUUGAAUUAUAUGUGCCUCUCUCUCUUUCUCUAGAUAAUCUAACAAUGGUUUUGUUUUUUCAGGUAUGGACAACUGGAACUAUGGGGGAACUAAGCCCGGUAUGUACAGUCUCUAGUAGCUUACGAAUAAAACAUGCUCAAUCGUUCUGCACCUGAAUCUAUGACAUUCAUUAAUUAAAACUUUGAAUAGAUGCAAGUCAUAUCUAAAGUUCUUGAUGAAAUCUUCAGGGGAUCUUACUUGAACCAUAUGAAAAAAUAUCCUGUUCUUUUGUUACAGGUUGUGAAAAUCGAUGGACGUGUGAUUGGUGACGGCAAAGUUGGACCGGUAACGAGAACACUGCAAAACGCUUACAAGAAACUGACAGAGGAUUCAGGUGUGCCAAUACCUACUUACCAAGAACCCUGAAAUACAAAACAAGAGGUAAUCAAAGUUGCUGAAUAGUCGUCUAUCUGAGAUAGUAUAUCAAAAAUUUUGGUUAUGAUUUAAUAAUAGCUUAGCAAAUGCAAGAGUAGAUUAAAAACCAUUUUAACUUUCACAUGAUUCAAGUGGGUCUUUAUACCGUUUAUUUAGGUUUUGAAACAGAGCCACGAGGGAACUUAAUAAUAAAAAGCAAUCAACUCUCACAUGAUUCAAUUGGUUUUGAGGAAAAAACAUGAAGCUUUUGCGUCAUCUUAAUUAAUAGAUUUCCUUUCAUGUAAGUAAAGAAGCUUUCUUUCUUUUUUCAGGGGAUGCCAAUGUUGUAGCCUUCUUAUAGUCGUUUCUUCUUAUCUUGGUACCAAAACGGCGAGUAGUUUAUACGUGGCAAUGUAAAACUGUGUGUAGUCAAGCUUGUCGAGUAGACUUAAAUCAAAGUCAGCAUUUGCUUGUUUGACCCAACGUGAGAAGUAUGACCAUAAUAAAUAAAGCCACCACUCGAGCGUUGAUUCUUUUCCUUUUCUAGAAAAUUCAAUUUUUCUUUAAGUUAAUUGCUGGAAGGAAUCAAAUUAAAAUAUAGUCAAGACUAUUAUAGAUCUUUGUUUUAUUGUUUUAAACAUACUUUCCCAAUUUAUUGAAUAAUAUAUGUUCCAUUCAUGGUUGACAAAAUGCCAGAAAGAUGAGAACUAGUGAACAUUCAUACUUUGGAGUUCCAUAUCUAUAAUUUAUGUCAUAUAAAUCUGUUUAUGUCAUAUAAAUCUGUGGAGUCAUGAAUAUUUAUAAAUUAUAAUAGAUUUUACAAUGUAUUUUGAAGAUUACUUAUAUUUAUUGAGGUGAUAUGCGAUAGAAUUCUGAUAGCGUUUCGGUUGCCGCCGGCGGCAGUUAUCCUCCUUGAUUAUUUAACUCAGGGUCAGAGCCCAGAAUGGUCCAACGUUCGCUAAAGUGUUUGUUUAAUGGGAUCAGAAUCAUAUUUAUAAAAAACAUUCCAAUUACUUUAUUUUAUUUUAGUUGUUUGUCAUCAAUUAUUUUCGUUUUUUAAGAUAUAAUCAUAUAUAAAAGCCUCAUGACUAAAAGGAAACGAUUUUUCAAAGGCAUAACUUCCUUUCUUUUCUUUUUUUUUUUUUGGUUUUAAUGUUAAGAUUCAAAGGCAUAACUUGCUAAUGGCCUAAAAAUUUUCGUUUUAUUUCUGUUAAUUGGGGAACCCGAUUCUCUAUGAGUAUUGUCGUCUCUUUGAGUUUCUUUUACUUGAGUGGCAAGUAGAUUUCUGAUCUUUCUUUAGUGACUUUUCUUUAUCACAAGAUAUAUAUUUUUUUUUUGAGCAAAGUAUCACAAGAUAUUAUGUUGAUAAAAAGGAGUAUUUUCUUGUAGUAAGGAAACGGGCAUCUAUAUAAUUUAUGAAAGAAAGUCCUCUGGAAAACCGUUGAAAAUUUAACCCAAAACAAAAAAAGAAAAGUCCUUUCUGGAUAGCAUAGUUUUUGACCCAAGAAAACGUUUUAAUCUAUAUUUCGAAACCAUCUUUUACACGAACAAAAAAGCUUGUCCCAAAUGUUAUCUAAACAUCUCGUUAAAACAAAAAAAAAAAUUGUUUUGAAUGUAUUAAAGAAUUAAGAUGGUUUUAAAAGUGUGAUGUUGUUACGCAUGAAAAUGGAUGAUUUAUGUAUUUAUAAUUAUUUUCAAAUGUUUUCCUGAGCCUACUGAAAAGUUUAAAUGUUUAAAGAAAACUAAAAGAAAGCAAUGGAGAGAUUACAAACUUUUAUAUUCGACAUAAUUUACCAAUUAGGCAACGACUUUCAUUCAUUUCACAAAUUUGAGGAAACUAUACAAAAUUAGCCAUCGGAUUAAAAUGGAAAAUAACAAGCCGAAAAGCUGCUAUUCUCAGAAAUAACAAAUAUACUUGAAUGUAAUAAAAAUUGUUAGGGAUGUUUCAUAAAAAUAAAAACCAAACUAAUUAAAAUUCGAAACCAACCAAAAGAGAAAAUUUUGCAUAUUCAACGUAAAUGACAAAUUGUGAAAAGAAAUUUCCAUAUUUACUGAUUGGAGAAACCUUCCUCUUGCCACGUGGAACUUAAGUCUGACACAAGUGCUGACAUCACUACCCCAUCUCUUCUUCUGAAUCUUCAAAUGUCUUUUUUAGUACGCUAUAAACUCACUUUCUUCUUCUCCAAGAGCCAAAAAAAAAAUUCGGAAACCACCAAAAAAAAAAAAACAUGAGAAGCUCCGAUCAUACGCCGUUUUCCGGCGUUUUGCCGAUUGUUUUCUUACUUAUAUUAUCAUCAGCGGAUCUAGCGGCGAGUCAAUCACAGCCCGGUCCAGCAAAUCAACCGUAUAACUACGGCAGGCUAAGUCCAGCCAUGGCAGUGAUCGUCGUGAUCCUAAUCGCUGCUCUCUUCUUCAUGGGCUUCUUCUCCAUCUACUUCCGUCACUGCUCCGGCGUACCAGACGCCGGCGUUUCUCCAGCUGGUGGAGCUAGAUCCAGAGCAACCGUCAACGCGGCGGCGCGUGGUCUCGACGCUUCAGUUGUCGAGACUUUUCCUACGUUCUUGUACUCUGAUGUGAAAACGCAGAAGCUUGGCAAAGGAGAGCUAGAGUGUGCGAUUUGUUUGAACGAGUUCGAAGACGACGAAACGCUGCGUUUGCUUCCCAAGUGUGAUCACGUGUUUCACCCUCACUGCAUCGAUGCUUGGCUCGAGGCUCACGUGACUUGUCCUGUUUGCAGAGCGAAUCUUGCUGAACAGGUUGCUGAAGGUGAAUCGGUUGAACCGGGAGGAACUGAACCAGAUCUUGAAUUGCAGCAGGUUGUGGUGAAUCCUGAACCUGUGGUUACUGCUCCGGUACCGGAACAAGUGGUGACGAGUGAAGUCGAUUCGAGGAGAUUACCUGGAGUACCGGUUGAUUUAAAACGAGUCAAAUUCUCGAGAUCGCAUACGACGGGACAUUCGGUGGUUCAACCGGGAGAAUGUACCGAGCGGUUUACUCUUCGGUUACCGGAAGAUGUAAGGAAGAGGAUAAUGAGGGAAUGGAAAUUGAACCGGACGAAUAGUCUUCUGGUUCUUCCUAGGGGAGGGAGUUCAAGGAGAGGUAAACCGAUUGACCGGUCAAGGGCUCGGUCUGAUCGAUGGUUGUUUCGUAAAACGCCUUCGUUUCUUUGGAGGAGUCGUGAUGAUGGUUCGAUUAGGUUAGGUGCUACCGGUAGCGUUCGAGCCAACGCUGUACCGAAUUCAACCGGUGGUGAUUCGGUACGUGCAGGAGACCGGUGGGCUUUUCUUAGAAACGCGUCGUUUUUGUGGAGGAACUCUUCGGUACAUGUGCCAAGAGGAGGAGUCAAUAAAGACGGCGAAGGAACUUCGGUUAAAUCGACCGGUGCUAGUGGCUCAACUAGCGGUUCGAUGAGAUUACCGGUUUAGUUGACUUAUCUUUUAGCCGUAUAACUACUCUUUUUUUUUUUCUCACAUAUUUUUCGUUUUUAUGUUUGGGAUUGUCGAUAUACAAGCAAUACAUUUUCCUCAAUUUUUUUCUUUUUAAUUAUUCUUGUAUUGUUUAAAAUUUCUGUAACGUACAUAUAAAGUCAGAUCCGAAAAUGAGAUUUACUUUUGAAAAACAAUGUAUAAAAAAACUUAUAAAAAACGGACAAUGAUGAGGUGAGCCUGGUGAGGUGUGGUGUGGUGUGGUGCAGGUGGGUUUCUCGUUUCUUCAAUAUAAAAAGUUUUAUUCGUGGACAAAGAAUAUAUAUAUAUUUUUUUUUGUCAUCUGAUUUUUAUUAAAACUUUAAGAUAGGAUAUAAGGUGAAAUACUUAAGCCGGUGGAAAACAAAGAUAUCCUCAGAAUCUAAAGCCCAAAAGAGAGAAGCUAAGCCGGCGGACAAAAAAAAAGUCCCCGGAGACAAAGUCGGAGAAAAAAAAGAAUUCCCCCAAAUCUAAGUCUACGCUAAAAACAACAUAAACUUUUAAAGCCGAAAUCGAAAGAGAACGAAACCAAAAACUAAGAAAAGAGGCAAACUAAAAAUAAACAAGAAGAUAAACACUAAGUCAAAAUAACCAAAUCGAUCUUCUUCUUCUGAAGUUUCUGCGAAUGAGCUAUAUCAAUGCUGCCCAACCAUUAAUCACAACUGCUUCCUCCUAUCACAAUGAGAGAAGAUCUCUCGAAACCAAGUAACAAUGACUUCAUAAUCUGACAAGUAAAGGUCCAAAUAGAUCCUCAUUAAACACUUUCAGAUGCGGCUGCGACGAGGGUGCGUCAAGGAACACCUUGAUAGAAGUCAAAAAGAUGCAAUCCGACAUCCUCCAGAUUUGGAAACGCAGAGACAAGGAGCGAAACAUAACCACCUCGAUGAGCUUCGAAAUCAAGAACAAAAACGACACUCAUCUACAACGGAAAUCAUCACCAGUAACUUCCACCUAAGAGAAGAAAGAUCUGAAGCCAAACGACACUAGCAUAAACUUCACACAACAAGGGCCUCAUCUUAGAAAGGAGACGAACCAAACGAGCAACUAUUAGCUAAACCAGGCAAUAAGGGUGAGCGGAGAGGCUAAGGCAAGAUGAAAGCUAACUACAGAGCUCACACAAGCCAAGCACGCGACAUCAAAACACCAAGAAGCACAAGAGCGAGUAACAGAUCUGGAUUUGGGGAAGGCGAAAAGCAAUGGCUUUAUUACAUACCCGUCACCGUCGAUCUCAGAUCCGGCUCCAUCAUCUUCGCAAGAGCCCUGAACCACAAAUCUGAAACACUCAAACUGCUUCCGACAAACACCCAAAAUCACAAACCGAUCAAACUAAAUCGAAACCCCAAUCGAAGGCCACAAGAUUCUUAAAAUUAACACAAAACUAAAACCAAGAAAGGAAAGAACAAAAGGAGGACCAAAGCCGGUGCUAGAGGAGCCACCGUACUCCGGUCACCGAUCUGGGCAAACUUGUAAACUUGAGAGAGCGGCGGCUAGGUCUAGUCCCGAGAGAGAGAGGUGAAUUCGUGGACAAAGAAUAUAGAAUAUAGUUUUGUUUUCUCGCUUUGAAUAUAGAAUAUAGUAUAGCUCUCUUAAUUUAUAGUACAAAAAUAAUACUUUUUUAAGGAAAAUCAGUUCAAUAAUGUGUUUGGUUUAAAACCAGAGUUUUACUUCAUAGUUUAUACACAAGAUUACAUGAAGAAACACUACUACGCUUUAAAGAAAGAAAUCUAUUUAUCAGAAACGUUUUGAGAAA